This 468-nucleotide ribosomal RNA is filed under the name uncultured bacterium. RNAcentral's name for it is "partial 16S ribosomal RNA". It matches the Rfam family "Bacterial small subunit ribosomal RNA", at positions 28 to 507 of the family's 1533-position model. The record is from RNAcentral.
GACGAACGCUGGCGGCGUGCUUAACACAUGCAAGUCGAACGGAAAGGCCCUGCUUUUGUGGGGUGCUCGAGUGGCGAACGGGUGAGUAACACGUGAGUAACCUGCCCUUGACUUUGGGAUAACUUCAGGAAACUGGGGCUACUACCGGAUAGGAGCUCCUGUUGCAUGGUGGGGGUUGGAAAGUUUCGGCGGUUGGGGAUGGACUCGCGGCUUAUCAGCUUGUUGGUGGGGUAGUGGCUUACCCAGGCUUUGACGGGUAGCCCGCCUGUGAGGGUGGCCGGGCACAUUGGGACUAAGAUACGGCGCAGACUCCUACGGGAGGCAGCAGUGGGGAAUAUUGCACAAUGGGAGGAAGCCUGAUGCAGCAACGCCGCGUGCGGGAUGACGGCCUUCGGGUUGUAAACCGCUUUCGCCUGUGACGAAGCGUGAGUGACGGUAAUGGGUAAAGAAGCACCGGCUAACUACGUG